UACGGGGGUGCGAGCGUUAAUCGGAAUAACUGGGCGUAAAGGGCACGCAGGCGGGCUUUUCAGGUGGAUGUGAAAUCCCCGGGCUUAACCUGGGAAUAGCAUUUCAGACUGGGAGUCUAGAGUACUUUAGGGAGGGGUAGAAUUCCACGUGUAGCGGUGAAAUGCGUAGAGAUGUGGAGGAAUACCGAAGGCGAAGGCAGCCCCUUGGGAAUGUACUGACGCUCAGGUGCGAAAGCGUGGGGAGCAAACGGG
RNAcentral lists this ribosomal RNA (252 nucleotides) under uncultured bacterium. RNAcentral's name for it is "partial 16S ribosomal RNA". It matches the Rfam family "Bacterial small subunit ribosomal RNA", at positions 524 to 776 of the family's 1533-position model. The record is from RNAcentral.